This 249-nucleotide ribosomal RNA is filed under the name uncultured bacterium. RNAcentral describes it as "partial 16S ribosomal RNA". It matches the Rfam family "Bacterial small subunit ribosomal RNA", at positions 524 to 772 of the family's 1533-position model. The record is from RNAcentral.
UACGGAGGGUGCAAGCGUUGUUCGGAAUCACUGGGCGUAAAGCGCGUGUAGGCGGCUAUCUAAGUCUGAUGUGAAAGCCCUGGGCUCAACUCAGGAAGUGCAUUGGAUACUGGAUAGCUGGAGUACCGGAGAGGAGGGUGGAAUUCCUGGUGUAGCGGUGAAAUGCGUAGAUAUCAGGAGGAACACCGGUGGCGAAGGCGUCCCUCUGGCCGGAUACUGACGCUGAGACGCGAAAGCGUGGGGAGCAAA